Molecule: ribosomal RNA, 892 nt
Filed under: uncultured bacterium
Lineage: Bacteria
Description: bacterial SSU rRNA
Rfam family: Bacterial small subunit ribosomal RNA
Source: RNAcentral
CUUGGGGCUUAACCCUGAGCGUGCUUUCGAUACGGGUUGACUUGAGGAAGGUAGGGGAGAAUGGAAUUCCUGGUGGAGCGGUGGAAUGCGCAGAUAUCAGGAGGAACACCAGUGGCGAAGGCGGUUCUCUGGGCCUUUCCUGACGCUGAGGAGCGAAAGCGUGGGGAGCGAACAGGCUUAGAUACCCUGGUAGUCCACGCUGUAAACGGUGGGUACUAGGUGUGGGGUCCAUUCCACGGGUUCCGUGCCGUAGCUAACGCUUUAAGUACCCCGCCUGGGGAGUACGGCCGCAAGGCUAAAACUCAAAGGAAUUGACGGGGCCCCGCACAAGCGGCGGAGCAUGCGGAUUAAUUCGAUGCAACGCGUAGAACCUUACCUGGGUUUGACAUGGAUCGGGAGUGCUCAGAGAUGGGUGUGCCUCUUUUGGGGUCGGUUCACAGGUGGUGCAUGGCUGUCGUCAGCUCGUGUCGUGAGAUGUUGGGUUAAGUCCCGCAACGAGCGCAACCCUUGUUCACUGUUGCCAGCACGUUAUGGUGGGGACUCAGUGGAGACCGCCGGGGUCAACUCGGAGGAAGGUGGGGAUGACGUCAAGUCAUCAUGCCCCUUAUGUCCAGGGCUUCACGCAUGCUACAAUGGCUGGUACAGAGAGUGGCGAGCCUGUGAGGGUGAGCGAAUCUCGGAAAGCCGGUCUCAGUUCGGAUUGGGGUCUGCAACUCGACCUCAUGAAGUCGGAGUCGCUAGUAAUCGCAGAUCAGCAACGCUGCGGUGAAUACGUUCCCGGGGCUUGUACACACCGCCCGUCAAGUCAUGAAAGUUGGUAACACCCGAAGCCGGUGGCCUAACCGUUGUGGGGGAGCCGUCGAAGGUGGGACUGCUGAUUAGGACUAAGUCG